Molecule: ribosomal RNA, 1598 nt
Organism: Drosophila sechellia
Lineage: Eukaryota; Metazoa; Arthropoda; Insecta; Diptera; Drosophilidae
Rfam family: Eukaryotic large subunit ribosomal RNA
Source: Rfam
GCAUGGAGCUGCCAUCGGUACAGAUCGUAGCUGGUAGUAGCAAAUAAUCGAAUGAGACCUCGGAGGACUGAAGUGGAGAAGGGCUUUCGUGUGAACAGUGGUUGAUCACGAGUUAGUCGGUCCUAAGUUCAAGGCGAAAGCCGAAAAUUUUCAAGUAAAACAAAAAUGCCUAACUAUAUAAACAAAGCGAAUAUAAUACACUUGAAUAAUUUUGAACGAAAGGGAAUACGGUUCCAAUUCCGUAACCUGUUGAGUAUCCGUUUGUUAUUAAAUAUGGGCCUCGUGCUCAUCCUGGCAACAGGAACGACCAUAAAGAAGCCGUCGAGAGAUAUCGGAAGAGUUUUCUUUUCUGUUUUAUAGCCGUACUACCAUGGAAGUCUUUCGCAGAGAGAUAUGGUAGAUGGGCUAGAAGAGCAUGACAUAUACUGUUGUGUCGAUAUUUUCUCCUCGGACCUUGAAAAUUUAUGGUGGGGACACGCAAACUUCUCAACAGGCCGUACCAAUAUCCGCAGCUGGUCUCCAAGGUGAAGAGUCUCUAGUCGAUAGAAUAAUGUAGGUAAGGGAAGUCGGCAAAUUAGAUCCGUAACUUCGGGAUAAGGAUUGGCUCUGAAGAUUGAGAUAGUCGGGCUUGAUUGGGAAACAAUAACAUGGUUUAUGUGCUCGUUCUGGGUAAAUAGAGUUUCUAGCAUUUAUGUUAGUUACUUGUUCCCCGGAUAGUUUAGAUACGUAGCCAAUUGUGGAACUUUCUUGCUAAAAUUUUUAAGAAUACUAUUUGGGUUAAACCAAUUAGUUCUUAUCAAUUAUAACGAUUAUCAAUUAACAAUCAAUUCAGAACUGGCACGGACUUGGGGAAUCCGACUGUCUAAUUAAAACAAAGCAUUGUGAUGGCCCUAGCGGGUGUUGACACAAUGUGAUUUCUGCCCAGUGCUCUGAAUGUCAAAGUGAAGAAAUUCAAGUAAGCGCGGGUCAACGGCGGGAGUAACUAUGACUCUCUUAAGGUAGCCAAAUGCCUCGUCAUCUAAUUAGUGACGCGCAUGAAUGGAUUAACGAGAUUCCUACUGUCCCUAUCUACUAUCUAGCGAAACCACAGCCAAGGGAACGGGCUUGGAAUAAUUAGCGGGGAAAGAAGACCCUUUUGAGCUUGACUCUAAUCUGGCAGUGUAAGGAGACAUAAGAGGUGUAGAAUAAGUGGGAGAUAUUAGACCUCGGGGAUCAGGGGUAAUUGCGAGCAGAGGGGGAGUAUUUUUCUGUAAUUCGUAAGUCAUAUCAUAUGGUGUGCGGAAGGGGAAUUUUACUCUGUAACUCACAAGUCUCUCCUUUACUCAAGUCGACUCAAAACCUCCUCGUGGUGGUCCCCGGUAAUGCUAAACUUGUUUAGCAGCUAAUUUGAGCGGCAAAACUUUUCCGAUGGGUUGGUUCCCCAGAGGAAAUUUAUUCAUAUUGGAACUACAAAUAGAAAUAACGAGCCUCGGAGCAAUUUACGCAAUCUGAUGACGACCCGACCCUCCGUGGACAUCUUCCCGGAGGACCAAUAUGAACCAAACGCAGCGGCUACUCUAUCUAGGGUACCCUGCACAGUAUGUGGCCGGUCCUUUAAC